RNAcentral lists this ribosomal RNA (737 nucleotides) under uncultured bacterium. RNAcentral describes it as "bacterial SSU rRNA". It matches the Rfam family "Bacterial small subunit ribosomal RNA", at positions 173 to 916 of the family's 1533-position model. The record is from RNAcentral.
CCACGACCCGGCAUCGGGACGGGGUAAAAGCUACGGCGGUAAUAGAUGAGCAUGCGUUCCAUUAGCUAGUUGGUGAGGUAACGGCCCACCAAGGCUACGAUGGAUAGGGGUUCUGAGAGGAAGGCCCCCCACACUGGGACUGAGACACGGCCCAGACUCCUACGGGAGGCAGCAGUGAGGAAUAUUGGUCAAUGGGCGCAAGCCUGAACCAGUCAUGCCGCGUGAAGGAAGACGGCCUUAUGGGUUGUAAACUUCUUUUAUGAGAGAGCAAUAAGGGGUACGUGUACCCCGAUGAGAGUAUCUCACGAAUAAGCAUCGGCUAACUCCGUGCCAGCAGCCGCGGUAAUACGGAGGAUGCGAGCGUUAUCCGGAUUUAUUGGGUUUAAAGGGUGCGUAGGCGGAUUAAUAAGUCAGUGGUGAAAGUUUAUCGCUUAACGGUAAAAUUGCCAUUGAUACUGUUAGUCUUGAGUAUAUUUGAGGUAGGCGGAAUGUGUGGUGUAGCGGUGAAAUGCUUAGAUAUCACACAGAACACCAAUUGCGAAGGCAGCUUACUAAGAUAUAACUGACGCUGAGGCACGAAAGUGUGGGGAUCAAACAGGAUUAGAUACCCUGGUAGUCCACACUGUAAACGAUGAUAACUGGAUGUUGGUCUGUACAGAUCAGCGUCUGAUGUGAAAGCAUUAAGUUAUCCACCUGGGGAGUACGUCGGCAACGAUGAAACUCAAAUGAAUUGACGG